This 497-nucleotide ribosomal RNA is filed under the name uncultured bacterium. RNAcentral's name for it is "partial 16S ribosomal RNA". It matches the Rfam family "Bacterial small subunit ribosomal RNA", at positions 28 to 507 of the family's 1533-position model. The record is from RNAcentral.
GAUGAACGCUGGCGGCGUGCCUAAUACAUGCAAGUCGAGCGAACAGACGAGGAGCUUGCUCCUCUGACGUUAGCGGCGGACGGGUGAGUAACACGUGGAUAACCUACCUAUAAGACUGGGAUAACUUCGGGAAACCGGAGCUAAUACCGGAUAAUAUAUUGAACCGCAUGGUUCAAUAGUGAAAGACGGUUUUGCUGUCACUUAUAGAUGGAUCCGCGCCGCAUUAGCUAGUUGGUAAGGUAACGGCUUACCAAGGCGACGAUGCGUAGCCGACCUGAGAGGGUGAUCAGCCACACUGGAACUGAGACACGGUCCAGACUCCUACGAGAGGCAGCAGUAGGGAAUCUUCCGCAAUGGGCGAAAGCCUGACGGAGCAACGCCGCGUGAGUGAUGAAGGUCUUCGGAUCGUAAAACUCUGUUAUUAGGGAAGAACAAAUGUGUAAGUAACUAUGCACGUCUUGACGGUACCUAAUCAGAAAGCCACGGCUAACUACGUG